CUAAACUAGGAUUAGAUACCCUAUUAUUAUAAAUGUAAAUUUUUAACUAAAUUAGUAUUAGUUAUGUUCUUGAAAUUUAAAGAAUUUGGCGGUAUUUUAGUCUUUUCAGAGGAACCUGUCCUAUAAUUGAUAAUCCACGAUUAAAUAUACCUAUUAUUAGUUUAUAUAUCGUCGUAGUUUGAGAAUUUUAAAAGAAUAAUAAUUUUCAGGAUUUAUAAUUUUAAAAUAAAUCAGAUCAAGGUGUAGCGUAUUAAUAGGAAGAGAUGGGUUACAAUAAAUUUAUUUAAGCGGAUAAUUUACUUAAAAGUGUUUUUGAAGAUGGAUUUGAAAGUAAUUAUUUUUAUUUAUUUUUAAUGAUUUAAGCUCUAAAAUAUGCACAUAUUGCCCGUCACUUCCACUAUAUGUGGGAUAAGUCGUAACAUAGUAGGUGUACUGGAAAGUGUACCUAGAAUGACAAAUUAGAGCUUAAAAGCAUUUUAUUUACAUUAAAAAGUUAAUUGUUUAUUCAAUUUAAUUUGAAUGAGAAAUUUAUAAAACAAUAUUAAUUAAAGUAUUAGUAAGUUUAAUUAUUAAACAAAGAAAAAAUUUAUUUUAAUUAUAGUUGAUUAGUACAUUAAUGGAAAUUUGAAAGAUUAUGAAAAUUAAAUUUUUUAGAAGAAAAAUUUUAUUUUGUACCUUGUGUAUCAGGGUUUAUUAAUUAAGAAUUAUUAAUUUAAUUUUCUCGAAUAAAAAGGAGUUAAUUUUUUUAUAAAUUUUACUGUAAAAUAAGUAUUUACUAUAGAAGAUUAGAAGUGAAACGUUAUUCGUCUUUUUUUAUAUCUAGUUUCUUAAGAAAUAAAUUUAAUUUAGGUUAUUUUUUGAUAUUUUUAUUUGUAUAAUAUUUUCAAUAUAUAAACUAAUAUUUUGAGGGAUUAGCUUCAAAUUAUAAUUGUUAUAAUUUAUAGAAAUUGUUUACUGUGGUAGGAUUAGAAGUUUUUAUCCAUAAUAGUGUGUUAUUACUAUUUUAAAAAUUUUAAUAUUUUUAUUAUUUUUAACUUUUAUAUUAAGAUAAUUUAUUUAAUAAAUAUAUAUAUAUAAUAAUGAUAAAAUUAGUAUAAUUUUAUGUAAUAUAAAUUUUAUAUGUUAGGUAAUUUAAAGGAAUUCGGCAAAUUUGCUUUUCGCCUGUUUAUUAAAAACAUGUCUUUUUGAUUAUUAUUUAAAGUCUGGCCUGCCCAAUGAAAAUUGAAUGGCCGCGGUAUUUUGACCGUGCAAAGGUAGCAUAAUAAUUAGCUUUUUAAUUGAAAGCUUGUAUGAAUGGUCUUACGAGAAAGCAACUGUCUCUAAAUUAAUUAAUUAGAACUUUAUUUUUAAGUAAAAAAGCUUAAAUAAAUCUAGAAGACGAGAAGACCCUAUAGAGUUUUACUUUAAUAUUUUUUAUAUUAUUAGGUUAUUUUCAAUUUAAUUAAUAUUUAAAGUUUUGUUGGGGUGACAGUUUAAUUAAAAAAACUUAAAUUUUAAAAUUCACUGAUUUGUGUUUUUUUGAUCCUAUAUUAUAGAUUAAAAGAUUAAAUUACCUUAGGGAUAACAGCGUAAUUUUUCUAGAGAGUUCUUAUCGAAAGAAAAGUUUGCGACCUCGAUGUUGGAUUAAAAUUUAUUUUUGGUGUAGAAGCUAAAGAAUUAAGUCUGUUCGACUUUUAAAAUUUUACAUGAUCUGAGUUCAAAACCGGAGA
Molecule: ribosomal RNA, 1709 nt
Filed under: Phaeochrous sp. NLG-2014
Lineage: Eukaryota; Metazoa; Arthropoda; Insecta; Coleoptera; Hybosoridae
Description: partial 16S ribosomal RNA
Source: RNAcentral